GCGGCUGAUUAGGUCGUUGGUGGGGUAAUGGCCCACCAAGCCGAUGAUCGGUACGGGUUGUGAGAGCAAGGGCCCGGAGAUGGAACGUGAGACAAGGUUCCAGACCCUACGGGGUGCAGCAGGCGCGAAACCUCCGCAAUGUACGAAAGUGCGACGGGGGGAUCCCAAGUGUUAUGCUUUUUUGUAUGACUUUUCAUUAGUGUAAAAAGCUUUUAGAAUAAGAGCUGGGCAAGGCCGGUGCCAGCCGCCGCGGUAACACCGGCAGCUCGAGUGGUAGCUGUUUUUAUUGGGCCUAAAGCGUUCGUAGCCGGUUUGAUAAGUCUUUGGUGAAAGCUUGUAGCUUAACUAUAAGAAUUGCUGGAGAUACUAUUAGACUUGAAGUCGGGAGAGGUUAGAGGUACUACCGGGGUAGGGGUGAAAUCCUAUAAUCCUGGGAGGACCACCUGUGGCGAAGGCGUCUAACUGGAACGAUCUCGACGGUGAGUAACGAAAGCCAGGGGCGCGAACCGGAUUAGAUACCCGGGUAGUCCUGGCCGUAAACGAUGUGGACUUGGUGUUGGAAUGGCUUUGAGUUGUUCCGGUGCCGAAGGGAAGCUGUUAAGUCCACCGCCUGGGAAGUACGGUCGCAAGACUGAAACUUAA
RNAcentral lists this ribosomal RNA (642 nucleotides) under uncultured archaeon. RNAcentral's name for it is "bacterial SSU rRNA". It matches the Rfam family "Archaeal small subunit ribosomal RNA", at positions 217 to 859 of the family's 1478-position model. The record is from RNAcentral.